RNAcentral lists this unclassified non-coding RNA (253 nucleotides) under uncultured Alphaproteobacteria bacterium. RNAcentral describes it as "contains 16S-23S intergenic spacer region". It matches the Rfam family "Bacterial small subunit ribosomal RNA", at positions 524 to 776 of the family's 1533-position model. The record is from RNAcentral. Lineage: Bacteria; Pseudomonadati; Pseudomonadota; Alphaproteobacteria.
UACGGGGGGAGCGAGCGUUAUUCGGAAUCACUGGGCGUAAAGCGUGCGUAGGCGGCUUGACAAGUCAGAAGUGAAAGCCUGGGGCGCAACCCCAGAACUGCUUUUGAAACUGUCUCGCUAGAAUUCGGGAGAGGUUGGCGGAAUUCCCAGUGUAGAGGUGAAAUUCGUAGAUAUUGGGAGGAACACCAGUGGCGUAGGCGGCCAACUGGACCGACAUUGACGCUGAGGCACGAAAGCGUGGGGAGCAAACAGG